This 468-nucleotide ribosomal RNA is filed under the name uncultured bacterium. RNAcentral's name for it is "partial 16S ribosomal RNA". It matches the Rfam family "Bacterial small subunit ribosomal RNA", at positions 28 to 507 of the family's 1533-position model. The record is from RNAcentral.
GACGAACGCUGGCGGCGUGCUUAACACAUGCAAGUCGAACGGAAAGGCCCUGCUUUUGUGGGGUGCUCGAGUGGCGAACGGGUGAGUAACACGUGAGUAACCUGCCCUUGACUUUGGGAUAACUUCAGGAAACUGGGGCUAAUACCGGAUAGGAGCUCCUGCUGCAUGGUGGGGGUUGGAAAGUUUCGGCGGUUGGGGAUGGACUCGCGGCUUAUCAGCUUGUUGGUGGGGUAGUGGCUUACCAAGGCUUUGACGGGUAGCCGGCCUGAGAGGGUGACCGGCCACAUUGGGACUGAGAUACGGCCCAGACUCCUACGGGAGGCAGCAGUGGAGAAUAUUGCACAAUGGGCGGAAGCCUGAUGCAGCAACGCCGCGUGCGGGAUGACGGCCUUCGGGUUGUAAACCGCUUUCGCCUGUGACGAAGCGUGAGUGACGGUAAUGGGUAAAGAAGCACCGACUAACUACGUG